GCGGGCGUAGUUCAGUGGUAGAAUGUCUCCUUGCCAAGGAGAAGGUCGAGAGUUCAAAUCUCUUCGCCCGCU
This 72-nucleotide transfer RNA is filed under the name Chloroflexota bacterium. RNAcentral's name for it is "tRNA-Gly". It matches the Rfam family "tRNA". From Rfam's summary of the family: Transfer RNA (tRNA) molecules are approximately 80 nucleotides in length. Their secondary structure includes four short double-helical elements and three loops (D, anti-codon, and T loops). The record is from RNAcentral. Lineage: Bacteria; Bacillati; Chloroflexota.